RNAcentral lists this long non-coding RNA (531 nucleotides) under Mus pahari (shrew mouse). Its description in RNAcentral is "predicted gene 42839 (MGP_PahariEiJ_G0003189.1)". The record is from RNAcentral. Lineage: Eukaryota; Metazoa; Chordata; Mammalia; Rodentia; Muridae.
CUCCUGCUCAGACAAGCCAUCAAUGAUCUCAGAGACCUCGUGCUCACUGCGGGCAGCCGACAUGGAGAGCCCACUGCCACGCUGACCCACCCUGCUGGAAACCAGAGGGACACAGUCAGGACCAGGCAUCCUACUGACAGGCUAGGCCUGGACCAUGGGGUAGAACAUUCUAGAGGCAGGGCCAUUCCUCCUCCACUGCCUCGGCCACCAUCCCCUCCUGAGCGCAUCUGGUACCUCAUCUUGCCCUCGAACUACUCGGGGUAAGAUCUGCUUACCCAAGAUUAAGGAACAAGGCAGCCCUGGUGCCAAUCCAGACGUUGCCACUUCUCCUCGGUGGGACAUGGGGCCAAUGGGCUAACCUCUCGGCCUCAGCUUCCCUGCCUGAAAUAUGGGGCUGGGAAACACAACCACCUCCUGGGACCACGCCCACUGAAGGAGGACGAGAUGGCUGUUGUGGUGGGAAGCUGAGCCUUGAACUCGGUUCCCAAAACCCAUGCCAGGAGCCACGUGCACAGUGGGCACUUGGUGACU